Pteropus alecto (black flying fox) is the source of this 221-nucleotide long non-coding RNA. RefSeq lists it as uncharacterized. The transcript is spliced from 3 exons. NCBI's taxonomy places the organism in Eukaryota, Metazoa, Chordata, Mammalia, Chiroptera, Pteropodidae. The record is from RefSeq and is a predicted model, not a curated record.
CGGAAGGAGUUGGAAGUGAGCAAAGUAUUUCGUUAUGGAGAUAACGUAACCUUGAGGUGUAAAGAUGGGUAUACUUUGGAAGGCAGUCCCUGGAGCCAGUGCCAGGCAGAUGACACAUGGGACCCUCCUCUGGCCACAUGCACACCUCGCUCACAUAAUGGUUUCAUUGUUGGCAUGUCCUUUGGUGUGCCCAUCUUUAUUGUAUCCAUCCUUAUUUCCUG